RNAcentral lists this long non-coding RNA (1603 nucleotides) under Capsicum annuum. Its description in RNAcentral is "long non-coding RNA (CANN_LNC004478)". The record is from RNAcentral. Lineage: Eukaryota; Viridiplantae; Streptophyta; Magnoliopsida; Solanales; Solanaceae.
CAGAAGUAGAUGUUUUAUUCAUUUCAACAUUCAACUUGAACAUGCCAUCACAUGCAUACCCAUUUUCCACAAAAAUAUUAUUUUUCACAAUUACAUACUGAUCAUAUUUAAUAAUCUAUUUGAAGCCUGCUUUAUUAAGAAGAAAACUAGACAUCAAUUUUUUUCUCAUGGAAGGAGUAUAAAGUACAUCUUUUAAUAUUAAUAUCCUUCCAGAAGUGAAAAUCAACUCGACAUCUCUCAUUUCAAGCACUCGAGUUGUGUGUGAACCUCCAAGCAUAAUAGUUUUGGGCUCCUUAAAAUCAGUAUACUUUUUAAACCAGUCUUUGUCAUAACAGACAUGACGGUUUGCACCAGAGUCAUCUCACCUUCUAUCAACAUUAUCCACUAUGUUAAUGUAUGUUAUCAUUGCCACAAAUGUUUCUUCGGCAAGGUUUGCCUGAGGUUUAGGCCCACGUUUCUGAAAUUUACAAAAUCAAGCAAUAUGCCCACUCUUGCCACAGACAACGCAUAGUCCUUUUCUUGCACAUACUGAUUUUUUGCCUGGUUGUUUCCACCAUUAUUGUCAUUGGGAUGUCUACCAUCAUUUUUCUUGAAUUUUUUCUUCUUAGGCUUCAAAGUAGUAUUUUUGUUAGUUCCAGGGAUAGCAUUAUUUGAAAAAAUUAAAUUUACCUUUGGUGUUAUAUUGUUUUCUUCUAUUUGCAAAAGUGUAUCUUGGCCCCUUGCUACUUCCUCCAUGUGGAUUCUCAGUGUUUUAAAAUUUCUUCCAUGAAGGUGAAAGUUUAUCAAUUAUGCCACAAAUAAUAAGGUUAUAUCUAAUUUUGACUUCUUCGGACUUGAGCUUGCCAACAAUCAUUAUGAAGUCUUGAGCUUGAUCUACCACUGAUUUGUUGUCCACCAUUUGGAAAUGAAAAGAUCUGCAAGCUACAUAUUUUUUCGUUCCCACCUCCUCAAUGUCAUACUUACUCUGCAAGGCUUUUCAAAUUUUCUUUGCACUAGAGUAAGUUCUAUCAUAAUAAUCAUAAAAUUAUCAGAUAGACAAUUAAGAAAAAAAUAUUGAUACUUGUAGGAGUCACCAUCAUACUUUUCAACUUUCUCUUGAAAAGAGAUAAUUUCAUUGUCGGUCAUGAAAGAGUUAUCUACUUUGUUUGGGUUCUUCUUAGUUAACACAUAAGAAACAUUGAGAAGACUUAAGUAGAAAAGCACUUUACCCUUCCACCUCUUGAAGUGAGUACCAUUGAAUCAGAAUGGCUUGUUGAGAUCUCCCAUCUUGACAUCCGCGGAUUUUUUCAGUUGUUGUCAUUGAAUCUCCUUAAAAUUGUUGGUGAAAUUAUAAUGAACUUACAACUGAAAAUUAAAAGUGAAGAAAAUAAAAAGAGUAUCUUCUUUUUCGACUGAGGCGCGGAUAUCUCGAUCUCUUUAAGAAGAUUCAAGUCCACUGCAGCAAAUGUUUCACGAGUCCAGCAGUAAUCUUCUUGACUUGUCCCCUCCAGGAUACAGCAACCUUUCUCACUAAGAAUAACUCUGGACAAGAGUUGAGUUCAAAGCUCCACAAAAAGAAUAUCCCCCUUCAACUAAUAAACUCUCUUUUUUACUAAUUUUUGUG